Molecule: unclassified non-coding RNA, 363 nt
Filed under: uncultured bacterium
Lineage: Bacteria
Description: contains 16S-23S intergenic spacer region
Source: RNAcentral
UCCCCGUUGCCGAGGCAGUCUGAAUAGAAAAAUCCAACUAUUCAAAAGGGUUGCGCUCGUUGCGGGACUUAACCCAACAUCUCACGACACGAGCUGACGACGGCCAUGCAGCACCUGUCACCGCGUUCCCGAGGGCACAGUUUCCUUUCGGAAGCCUUCGCGGGAUGUCAAACCCUGGUAAGGUUCUUCGCUUAUCGUCGAAUUAAACAACACGCUCCACCGCUUGUGCGGGUCCCCGUCAAUUCCUUUGAGUUUUAAGCUUGCGCUCGUACUACUCAGGCGGGAUGCUUAACGCGUUAGCUUCGCUACAGAGGGGGUCGAUACCCCCCACAGCUAGCAUCCAUCGUUUACGGCGUGGACUAC